AGAGUUUGAUCAUGGCUCAGAUUGAACGCUGGCGGCAGGCCUAACACAUGCAAGUCGAACGGUAACAGGAAGCAGCUUGCUGUUUCGCUGACGAGUGGCGGACGGGUGAGUAAUGUCUGGGAAACUGCCUGAUGGAGGGGGAUAACUACUGGAAACGGUAGCUAAUACCGCAUAACGUCGCAAGACCAAAGAGGGGGACCUUCGGGCCUCUUGCCAUCGGAUGUGCCCAGAUGGGAUUAGCUAGUAGGUGGGGUAACGGCUCACCUAGGCGACGAUCCCUAGCUGGUCUGAGAGGAUGACCAGCCACACUGGAACUGAGACACGGUCCAGACUCCUACGGGAGGCAGCAGUGGGGAAUAUUGCACAAUGGGCGCAAGCCUGAUGCAGCCAUGCCGCGUGUAUGAAGAAGGCCUUCGGGUUGUAAAGUACUUUCAGCGGGGAGGAAGGGAGUAAAGUUAAUACCUUUACUCAUUGACGUUACCCGCAGAAGAAGCACCGGCUAACUCCGUGCCAGCAGCCGCGGUAAUACGGAGGGUGCAAGCGUUAAUCGGAAUUACUGGGCGUAAAGCGCACGCAGGCGGUUUGUUAAGUCAGAUGUGAAAUCCCCGGGCUCAACCUGGGAACUGCAUCUGAUACUGGCAAGCUUGAGUCUCGUAGAGGGGGGUAGAAUUCCAGGUGUAGCGGUGAAAUGCGUAGAGAUCUGGAGGAAUACCGGUGGCGAAAGCGGCCCCCUGGACGAAGACUGACGCUCAGUGCGAAAGCGUGGGGAGCAAACAGGAUUAGAUACCCUGGUAGUCCACGCCGUAAACGAUGUCGACUUGGAGGUUGUGCCCUUGAGGCGUGGCUUCCGGAGCUAACGCGUUAAGUCGACCGCCUGGGGAGUACGGCCGCAAGGUUAAAACUCAAAUGAAUUGACGGGGGCCCGCACAAGCGGUGGAGCAUGUGGUUUAAUUCGAUGCAACGCGAAGAACCUUACCUGGUCUUGACAUCCACGGAAGUUUUCAGAGAUGAGAAUGUGCCUUCGGGAACCGUGAGACAGGUGCUGCAUGGCUGUCGUCAGCUCGUGUUGUGAAAUGUUGGGUUAAGUCCCGCAACGAGCGCAACCCUUAUCCUUUGUUGCCAGCGGUCCGGCCGGGAACUCAAAGGAGACUGCCAGUGAUAAACUGGAGGAAGGUGGGGAUGACGUCAAGUCAUCGUGGCCCUUACGACCAGGGCUACACACGUGCUACAAUGGCGCAUACAAAGAGAAGCGACCUCGCGAGAGCAAGCGGACCUCAUAAAGUGCGUCGUAGUCCGGAUUGGAGUCUGCAACUCGACUCCAUGAAGUCGGAAUCGCUAGUAAUCGUGGAUCAGAAUGCCACGGUGAAUACGUUCCCGGGCCUUGUACACACCGCCCGUCACACCAUGGGAGUGGGUUGCAAAAGAAGUAGGUAGCUUAACCUUCGGGAGGGCGCUUACCACUUUGUGAUUCAUGACUGGGGUGAAGUCGUAACAAGGUAACCGUAG
Molecule: ribosomal RNA, 1506 nt
Filed under: Shigella flexneri
Lineage: Bacteria; Pseudomonadati; Pseudomonadota; Gammaproteobacteria; Enterobacterales; Enterobacteriaceae
Description: bacterial SSU rRNA
Rfam family: Bacterial small subunit ribosomal RNA
Source: RNAcentral